AUGUUGCCAUAACAACAGAAUAUGUGUGUGUGUUUAGUAGAAAGACAAUCCUUUUUUUUUCCAGUCAAUUUUUUCUUUGAUCUAUAGAACUCGCUUCUUUUCUCUGAAGUUUUCACAAUACAGCAUGAUAGAAGGAGCACAGAGUGCCAGAGGCAGGGAACUCCUAUGCUUCACCAGUGACUCAUAAGAAAACUUAAUAGAAGGUCUCUGCUGCCCACUGGCCCUGCAGUACCUGAUCGAUGUGGUCCCAAAGUAAAGUAGGCUAACCUUCAUUGAACCAAGCACUUCAGAGGCAUGGGAAGAAGUAUGGGAGAAGGAGUCCUUGUACUCUGGCAAUGAGGAAAGGGCGGAGCAAGAAGGCCGAAUAGGAACAGCUCCAGUCUCCAACUCCCAGCGCGAGCCACACAGAAGACCGGUGAUUUCUGCAUUUUCAACUGAGGAAAACAUUAACAGUGCAAGACACAGCAAGAAUCACAGAGCCAUGGAUGGACGAUCCUUUUGAGGACAAUAGAGGGGGAAUUUGGUUUGAUUUUCAGCAAACCUUCAGAAGGCAAAAGGGAAAGUUUUCCCAUGGGCCAACAUGGAUUGUUUCUGUAAUAGUCUGUUCAGGCUUCUACAACAAGAUGUCACAGGCUGGGUGACCUAAACCAUGAGUCCUCAAACUCCGGCCAUGGAUCGGUAUGGGUCAGUGGCCUGUUAGGAAUCAGGCAGGCCACGCAGCAGGAGCUCAUUCUAGGGGAAGCCAGCUGCCAUAUUGAGAAAACAGUCCUAUGGAAAGGGCCAUGGAACAAAGAACUGACUUCUGCCAACAACCUCAUGAGUGAAACUAGAAGUGGUUCUUCUAGUCCUGGUCAAGUCUUAUAGCCUGUGGCUCCAACUGAUAGUGACUGCAACUUCAUAAGAGACACUGAACCAGACCACCCAAUAAGACACUCCAGAUUCCAGACUCUCAGAAGUUGUGUGAAAUAAUCACCCCCAGUUGUUUUAAGCUGCUAAGUUUUGGGAUAGUGUGUUAGAUAGCAAUAAAUUGCCAAUACAACAUCCAAGAAAUAAAUUACUAUGAUAAAUAAA
Non-coding RNA from Macaca mulatta (Rhesus monkey), 1071 nucleotides. Lineage: Eukaryota; Metazoa; Chordata; Mammalia; Primates; Cercopithecidae. The record is from RefSeq and is a predicted model, not a curated record.